This 199-nucleotide ribosomal RNA is filed under the name uncultured bacterium. RNAcentral's name for it is "partial 16S ribosomal RNA". It matches the Rfam family "Bacterial small subunit ribosomal RNA", at positions 328 to 539 of the family's 1533-position model. The record is from RNAcentral.
ACGCUCGACACCUACGGGAGGCAGCAGUCGGGAAUAUUGCGCAAUGGAGGAAACUCUGACGCAGUGACGCCGCGUAUGGGAAGAAGGUUUUCGGAUUGUAAACCAUUUUAGACAGGGAAGAAAAAAGACAGUACCUGUAAAAUAAGCUCCGGCUAACUACGUGUCAGCAGCCGCGGUAAUCUGAGCGGGCUGGCAAGGC